GAUGAACGCUGGCGGCGUGCCUAAUACAUGCAAGUCGAGCGAACAGACGAGGAGCUUGCUCCUCUGACGUUAUCGGCGGACGGGUGAGUAACACGUGGAUAACCUACCUAUAAGACUGGGAUAACUUCGGGAAACCGGAGCUAAUACCGGAUAAUAUAUUGAACCGCAUUGUUCAAUAGUGAAAGACGGUUUUGCUGUCACUUAUAGAUUGAUCCGCGCCGCAUUAGCUAGUUGGUAAGGUAACGGCUUACCAAGGCGACGAUGCGUAGCCGACCUGAGAGGGUGAUCGGCCACACUGGAACGGAGACACGGUCCAGACUCCUACGGGAGGCAGCAGUAGGGAAUCUUCCGCAAUGGGCGAAAGCCUGACGGAGCAACGCCGCGUGAGUGAGGAAGGUCUUCGGAUCGUAAAACUCUGUUAUUAGGGAAGAACAAAGGUGUAAGUAACUAGGCACGUCUGGACGGUGCCGAAGCAGAAAGCCACGGCUAACUACGU
Molecule: ribosomal RNA, 496 nt
Filed under: uncultured bacterium
Lineage: Bacteria
Description: partial 16S ribosomal RNA
Rfam family: Bacterial small subunit ribosomal RNA
Source: RNAcentral